GUGAAACAACGAACGUUAUUUUUAUCUAUAUACAUAAAUAUCAUAGGAAUUCGAAGGACUGCAAAUAUUUAAAAAAUUUUUUAAUUUUUCACAAAAUUCAUUUCAUUUUAUUUACAUUGUGCUAUUUUUUUCAUUUUUGUUUAUAUAUUAUUUUUAUUGAGAUUCUAAUUUCGACAACCUAGCAUUCUUAUGUAGCCCAAGUAAAACUGAUGCACUAUUUUUGCACAUCGAAACAAAAAGAGGUUAUUGAACGUGAAGCAAUAAUAUUUAUAAAUUCUUUGAGACGGCCUGGAAAGUGGAAAGAGCGAUGAAUCUAGAAACUUCUGGAUCGUCGAAGGUUUGGGCGCAUUGCCAGACCCCUACAUCUCCUCCCCGUUUGCUCCGCGCUCGUCGGAAACGACGAGAACGUUCUCGGGCGUCCAACGAGUAUUUUCGGUACGUCGUGUAACCUCGUUACGGUUUUUGUUGCUCGCAAAUUCUCAAUGCGUUUUUUUACACAUGCAAACUUCUUACCGAAGUUCUGUAUCCAGAACGUACGUUUGAUGAUACUUUUAAGCAGUGCUAUGCAAAUACGUAUUCCGGUACUUAAAAAAUUCAUAACCUCAAGAACUACGGCUGGAUACCAUUAGUCAUUUUUACGAUAUUUUUUUCGAAUUCCAAAUCAAUUUCUAGAUACUAAUCCGUAAUUUCGUAAUAUUUCGUAAUAUAACCUAGUAUGCCUUAAAACUUGAAAAUUUUUUUAUAAAUUUGGAUUUAUUCCAGACUUAAUAAAAAAUUUCUAGAAAACUGAAAGAGGGAAGAGUUAAUUUUUCGCAAAGUAGAAUGCUUUUCAUGGUUUUUGUUACCAAAUGUUAAACGAAAGGUCGGAAUAGCCAAUAACAAAAUAAUUGUAAAGGAGUUUCAGACAUGAUACGAUUGAAAAAAAUGGGACUAGAAAUAGAAACCAGAGAAAUGUUAUUAUAUCCUUAGAACUUUCCAGGUGAAACUCUGCAAAUAAAGUUGGAAAUGAUUUGGAGCCUCAGAUAAUUGAUAAAAAUGUUCUUUGGAUGGCCGUUGUUAAUUGGCCUGUCCAACCUAUUUCAAGGUCUACUAACUACACGACUAAGCUGGCACGCUGCGUACUUGCAACAGUUGGUUAUUCAGGACUGGGACCAGUUGGGAUCGUUGAUGUGUUUUUCACCGCCGGAUCGCCAAUGGAAACUGCCAGGAUUCCUUAGUACCAGCAUAUCAGGAGAUUUGUCGUAAUACGUCAAUUGGUGACGUUCGAAUGCCUCAUUUCCAAGAAUAUCAAGGGUCACUCCACCGAUUCGCGAAUGCGUUCCCUGUAAAGAUGAACGACGAUCGAUAUACCUUGAAACAUUUAUCGACAACCUCAUCAGCAAGGCCAACAGCUUCGAAGAUUUGGGCUCCUUUGUAAGAUUGGAGGGUGGAUAUGCCCAUCUUCGCCAUAACUUUUGCAAUACCACGUUCCAUGGCUUCACUAUAAUUCUGUAAAAAUUUCAAAUUGAAUGAACUGAUACAGACAAAUGUUCUAAGAUCUGACACAGAGGACAGGUCGAUAAAAUGAAAUUGGAAGAAAAAAAAGGACGUACCUUGUACAUAAUCUCAUCAUUGAACGAUUGGUCCAAGACCCCCUCUUCCCGGAGAUUCCUCGCCAUCUCGAAAACGAGAUAAGGACAAAUGGCAUCUGCGCCGUAACCCAGAAGAACGCACAUGUGAUGAACUUCUCGAGCUUCACCAGUUUCGGCAAUUAAGCCGACUUUCAUACGCUGACGUUCUUCGAUGAGGAAAUGAUGGACCGAGCCAAGAGCGAGCAUGGUGCUUACAGGAACCCUAAAAACACAUUUGUAUCAGUACUAUGAACAUUGAAAUGAUUCAAUUAUAAACUGAAUAACCAAGCGAUCAUCA
Long non-coding RNA from Venturia canescens, 1908 nucleotides. RefSeq lists it as uncharacterized. The transcript is spliced from 3 exons. The record is from RefSeq and is a predicted model, not a curated record. Lineage: Eukaryota; Metazoa; Arthropoda; Insecta; Hymenoptera; Ichneumonidae.